AUUGAACGCUGGCGGCAGGCCUAACACAUGCAAGUCGAACGGCAGCACGGGUACUUGCACCUGGUGGCGAGUGGCGAACGGGGGAGUAAGACAUAGGAACAUGUCCUUUCUUGUGGGAGAGGCCUGAGAAAGCCGGAUUAAUACCGCAUACGCACUACAUAUGCAAGCGAGAGACCGUCAUGCCUCGCGCUAGAGCGAUUGCCGAUGGCGGAGUAGGUAGUUGGAGGAGUAAAGGCACACCAAGACGACGAUCAGGACCUGGUCUGAGAAGACGACCAGCCACACUGGAACUUAAACACGGCGCAGACUCCUACAGGAGGCACCAGGGGGGAAUAUUGGACAACGGCGUCAAGCCUGAUCCAGCCAUACCGCGUGUGUAAAGCAGUCCUUCGAGUUUUAAAGCCCGUUUGUGGGGAAAGAAAAGCAGCAGCUUAAUACCCCGCUGGUCUGACGGUACCCAAAGAAUAAGCCCCGGCUAGCUUCGUU
RNAcentral lists this ribosomal RNA (486 nucleotides) under uncultured bacterium. RNAcentral's name for it is "partial 16S ribosomal RNA". It matches the Rfam family "Bacterial small subunit ribosomal RNA", at positions 30 to 507 of the family's 1533-position model. The record is from RNAcentral.